Molecule: ribosomal RNA, 546 nt
Filed under: Enterococcus faecalis
Lineage: Bacteria; Bacillati; Bacillota; Bacilli; Lactobacillales; Enterococcaceae
Description: bacterial SSU rRNA
Rfam family: Bacterial small subunit ribosomal RNA
Source: RNAcentral
AGAGUUUGAUCAUGGCUCAGGACGAACGCUGGCGGCGUGCCUAAUACAUGCAAGUCGACGCUUCUUUCCUCCCGAGUGCUUGCACUCAAUUGGAAAGAGGAGUGGCGGACGGGUGAGUAACACGUGGGUAACCUACCCAUCAGAGGGGGAUAACACUUGGAAACAGGUGCUAAUACCGCAUAACAGUUUAUGCCGCAUGGCAUAAGAGUGAAAGGCGCUUUCGGGUGUCGCUGAUGGAUGGACCCGCGGUGCAUUAGCUAGUUGGUGAGGUAACGGCUCACCAAGGCCACGAUGCAUAGCCGACCUGAGAGGGUGAUCGGCCACACUGGGACUGAGACACGGCCCAGACUCCUACGGGAGGCAGCAGUAGGGAAUCUUCGGCAAUGGACGAAAGUCUGACCGAGCAACGCCGCGUGAGUGAAGAAGGUUUUCGGAUCGUAAAACUCUGUUGUUAGAGAAGAACAAGGACGUUAGUAACUGAACGUCCCCUGACGGUAUCUAACCAGAAAGCCACGGCUAACUACGUGCCAGCAGCCGCGGUAAUAC